Molecule: ribosomal RNA, 216 nt
Filed under: Campeiostachys nutans
Lineage: Eukaryota; Viridiplantae; Streptophyta; Magnoliopsida; Poales; Poaceae
Also listed under: 1 other name
Description: Elymus nutans partial small subunit ribosomal RNA
Rfam family: Eukaryotic small subunit ribosomal RNA (bases 40-216)
Source: RNAcentral
GGGUUAGUAGAUUGGUCAUGCCUCUGGUAUGCACUGGUCUUACUGAUUCCUCCUUCCUGAUGAACCGUAAUGCCAUUAAUUUGGUGUUGCGGGGAAACUGGACUGUUACUUUGAAAAAAUUAGAGUGUUUAAAGCAGGCUAACGCUUGAAUACAUUAGCAUGGAAUAAUGAAAUAGGACGUUCGAUCUUAUUUUGUUGGUUUCUAGGAUUGACGUA